Molecule: ribosomal RNA, 445 nt
Filed under: uncultured bacterium
Lineage: Bacteria
Description: bacterial SSU rRNA
Rfam family: Bacterial small subunit ribosomal RNA
Source: RNAcentral
GUGAGGAAUAUUGGACAAUGGGUUAGCGCCUGAUCCAGCCAUCCCGCGUGAAGGACGACGGCCCUAUGGGUUGUAAACUUCUUUUGUAUAGGGAUAAACCUACUCUCGUGAGAGUAGCUGAAGGUACUAUACGAAUAAGCACCGGCUAACUCCGUGCCAGCAGCCGCGGUAAUACGGAGGGUGCAAGCGUUAUCCGGAUUUAUUGGGUUUAAAGGGUCCGUAGGCGGAUCUGUAAGUCAGUGGUGAAAUCUCAUAGCUUAACUAUGAAACUGCCAUUGAUACUGCAGGUCUUGAGUAAAUUUGAAGUGGCUGGAAUAAGUAGUGUAGCGGUGAAAUGCAUAGAUAUUACUUAGAACACCAAUUGCGAAGGCAGGUCACUAAGAUUUAACUGACGCUGAUGGACGAAAGCGUGGGGAGCGAACAGGAUUAGAAACCCCAGUAGUCC